GGGAUUUGGAGACAACCUGGUGCCCUGCUAGGCGGGGUGGGGGCUUUGCUGGGCGCCAUGGGAUGACAGCAUCCUCUUGAUGCUGAUACAGAGAGAAGGGUCAUCGCCAUGCCAGGACAGUGACAGCAGGGGCAGCUGCCACCCCCACUGGCACAUGCUGCUUGACUCGGUGCCUAAAGAUAACAAAACUAGAGCCAUAGAAAAACAGAAGAAUUCCAUUAGCGGGAGCGUUCAUCCUCGGGGAGAGGCUCAAUUCUCUCUGCCUUUAAAAUAAGAUGUAUUGGGAGAUGGACGAGGCAGGCCAGGAGAGGAGGGGGGAUUUUACCAAUUGAAGAUCCCAGGAAGCUCCUCUCAACAUGGAAGAGAAAGGACCUUGUCCUCCUCCUUGUGCCGCUGCUGGAAGGAGAAAGAGCCCUCCGUCCCCUCACGUCUGCUGCAGGACAGGGAGCCCAAGAGGGCCUCAGCACACUGGCUACAAGACAGAGACCAGUGACCAGAGCCAAAGCAAGUGGAAAGCAAGGAAAGGCUCCUCUCUUGGAUCCAAAGAGCCUCCCGGUGCUGGGUAAAGAUGCCAGUUGGUGCACGAGUCUUCAAAUGUUGCUCUGCUCCUCCUGCCCCCAUACCAAGGGGAGCCCCCUCCAGCAACUUUGCUUAAUUAACCUGUUCAGAGAAGCUAGAAAACCCCUUCAGCUGAAUAGUCCACAAAUUGAGCCUCAACUGCCAGCAGAUUCCUGUCUCGUAUACUAUUCAGAGUAUUAA
RNAcentral lists this long non-coding RNA (759 nucleotides) under Rhinopithecus bieti (black snub-nosed monkey). RNAcentral describes it as "lncRNA (ENSRBIG00000045386.1)". The record is from RNAcentral. Lineage: Eukaryota; Metazoa; Chordata; Mammalia; Primates; Cercopithecidae.